Molecule: ribosomal RNA, 253 nt
Filed under: uncultured bacterium
Lineage: Bacteria
Description: partial 16S ribosomal RNA
Rfam family: Bacterial small subunit ribosomal RNA
Source: RNAcentral
UACGUAGGGGCAAGCGUUGUCCGGAUUUAUUGGGCGUAAAGAACGUGUAGGCGGCCAUACAGGUCAGCUGUGAAAACUCGAGGCUCAACCUCGAGACGUCGGUUGAAACCGUAUGGCUAGAGUCCGGAAGAGGAGAGUGGAAUUCCCGGUGUAGCGGUGAAAUGCGCAGAUAUCGGGAAGAACACCUAUGGCGAAGGCAGCUCUCGUGGGACGGUACUGACGCUGAGACGCGAAAGCGUGGGGAGCGAACAGG